This 301-nucleotide ribosomal RNA is filed under the name uncultured bacterium. RNAcentral describes it as "partial 16S ribosomal RNA". It matches the Rfam family "Bacterial small subunit ribosomal RNA", at positions 509 to 807 of the family's 1533-position model. The record is from RNAcentral.
CAGUAGCCACGGUAAUACGUAGGGUGCAAGCGUUAAUCGGAAUUACUGGGCGUAAAGCGUGCGCAGGCGGUUAUAUAAGUCAGAUGUGAAGUCCCCGGGCUCAACCUGGGAAUGGCGAUGGAGACUGCAAGGCUAGAAUCUGGCAGAGGGGGGUAGAAUUCCACGUGUAGCAGUGAAAUGCGUAGAGAUCGGGAGGAACAUCAGUGGCGAAGGCGGCCAUCUGGGACAACACUGACGCUGAAGCACGAAAGCGUGGGGAGCAAACAGGAUUAGAUACCCCCGUAGUCCCUGUCUCUUAUAC